UUUUGGAGUCGAGGGUGAAAGGGGCUUAGACGAAGUCUCGCUCGAUGGUUUUAAUCGGUCGUAGCGAACGCCUGUCACCGAUCUCGACCUCUUUUUUUUAUUGCGGAUUGUCGCCGGCAGCUCCGCCAAAUUUUGAGUUUUUUUUGCCUCUACGAAGUAGUACUGGCGGGGACGGAGACGGCCAAGCGAGAGGUGGGGGUGCAAAGUGAGAGAAGAGUGAGAGUUGGUGCCGAGAAGAGGUGAUUUGAGUUUGGCGAGGUUUGACCUGAUGGUUUCCUUUCUUUUUUGAGAGUACUCAGUUCCAUAGAUUGAUAGUGAGGCGUAUCCCUUGUAUAAGGGUCCACGCCAGGGGCGAAGUUUCGGAGCCGUACAGAGGCGACGUAGAGGGCAGCGAAACGAGGGAAAUUUGCUGGGCGUAGCGCCAGCUAGGAGACCCGGAGUUUUUGGAUGAUCGCGACGUCGAAGACGCGGACCUGGUGAGUUGAACAUCGGGGGAUCCAGGCCGCGGCAGGACUUGGUCAGCGCGUCGCCGUCGUCCUGUGGGAAGACUCCUGUUUUUUUGAGCUACGAGUAAAAGAACACGCCUUAUCGCGAUCGGAAAUUUUCUUAUCGUUUGUCGCCAGACCCAACCGUUUUUUUCUGCGUCUCUCUCUUUCACUCUUUACAUGCUUUUCAACGUUUUUUCAAAUUUUCACGUACCCGCAUAAAUUUGAUGGCGCCCAAUUUUUUUUAUUUGUGAAAUAGUCAGCAUUUCCUGUAACUAGCUAGUAGACCGUUGUUGCGUAGUAGUUCGUCAGUUCAUUUGUUAUGGUAAUUCGUUACUGACAUUAGUUGUAGUUUUGUUACCUUUUACUAACCUAGAUAAUAUUUUUUUUUUGUACUAAAAGCCCUAAAUAUUUUAAUUAUUAUACAGCUCGCCAAAAUAA
Molecule: long non-coding RNA, 926 nt
Organism: Zophobas morio
Lineage: Eukaryota; Metazoa; Arthropoda; Insecta; Coleoptera; Tenebrionidae
Exons: 2
Source: RefSeq, a predicted model, not a curated record